GCCCGAGUGGCGGAAUUGGUAGACGCGCUGGUCUCAAACACCAGUGAGAGCAAUCUCGUGCCGGUUCGAUCCCGGCCUCGGGUA
Molecule: transfer RNA, 84 nt
Filed under: Bacteroidales bacterium
Lineage: Bacteria; Pseudomonadati; Bacteroidota; Bacteroidia; Bacteroidales
Description: tRNA-Leu
Rfam family: tRNA
About the family: Transfer RNA (tRNA) molecules are approximately 80 nucleotides in length.
Source: RNAcentral